AAAGAAACAAAACUGGUGAUCAGAUGUCUAAGGUUGGGGCAAAUAAAUUGGAUGGUAAAAGCGACAAAUUAAAGGAAGGAGGCAAAAAUUAUGAUCAAAUCUUCAUGUUUGGAGCAAAU
Nicotiana tabacum (common tobacco) is the source of this 119-nucleotide non-coding RNA. The record is from RefSeq and is a predicted model, not a curated record. NCBI's taxonomy places the organism in Eukaryota, Viridiplantae, Streptophyta, Magnoliopsida, Solanales, Solanaceae.